Molecule: long non-coding RNA, 715 nt
Filed under: Lytechinus variegatus (green sea urchin)
Lineage: Eukaryota; Metazoa; Echinodermata; Echinoidea; Temnopleuroida; Toxopneustidae
Description: uncharacterized LOC121422907
Source: RNAcentral
CCCUGGGCCCUGUUGCAUAAAAAUUUAUGUCAUAAUGACAUAAAUUUCGAUCAUGACAUAAAAUCAUGCAUAGCUUAUGCCGUUGACAUAAAUUUCGUUGCAUAAAAAUAUUUAUGUAUUGUUUUAGCUUAUGACGCGAUUUAAUCAUCAUUACAUAAACUGAAUAGUCAUGAACGAGCCUGUUGACAUAAACUUGGCAUAAGUUGUCAUUUUUCAGCCGCAGGAAGCUCUUGCGAAAAAGGGUCUUCGGCUUUCUAUUUGGACGGGAUAGAGGCCUAUUUUGGUGACCCACACAAACGGUGAGAAGAGGUAAAGAGAGAAAGGGGCACGGCAACUGGAAGGAGAGGGAGGUCCAGACACUCUACCACUGUUUGCGAUUGAAUAAGAAAUUUCUCUUUGGAUCAGGGGGUCAAGCUUCUAGUAUGAAGAUUGUUCAAGAGUCAAGACUGUUGAAGAGGUGACGUCAUGGACCUGGUAGCACCUGGCAAGGGAACUAAAUUAUAUUACUGUUCACCCUCAAGUAUCCUAAAAACGGUUUAAAAUUUUGAACAUUAACAAAAGUACUAAUUUUCAUGUUUUUCAAAGAUAAUAAUCAUUAUAUUGACAUUGUGGAUAUAUUUUAUGAUUAUCAUAAAAUUAUUAUAAUGUUAAUGAUGAUAGGUCAUAAUAAUGCAAAUGAACAAUAGGUAGAAAAGAAGACAACCAAGAAGGAGGA